Molecule: unclassified non-coding RNA, 191 nt
Organism: Chelonoidis abingdonii (Abingdon island giant tortoise)
Lineage: Eukaryota; Metazoa; Chordata; Testudines; Testudinidae
Source: Ensembl
UCAUCAGCCCUGACAACUGAAGUCCUCGAUUUAUCCACAGAACAGCUAAAGGGUUGGCAGAGUAAGUUCCCUAGCACUGUUCUGCCAUAUGGGCCUCAUCCUUGGCCUGGGGGUGAGAAUAACAACAACUAGCACUCUUCAUCAGGAGUUGAAAGCACUUUACAAGGAAGCCAGUAUCAUUAUCCUCAUUU